Molecule: ribosomal RNA, 207 nt
Filed under: uncultured bacterium
Lineage: Bacteria
Description: partial 16S ribosomal RNA
Rfam family: Bacterial small subunit ribosomal RNA
Source: RNAcentral
UGUGUAGGCGGCCUUCUAAGUUUGGUGUGAAAUCUCCCGGCUCAACCGGGAGGGUGCGCCGAAGACUGGGGGGCUAGAGUGCGGGAUGGGAGAGUAGAAUUCCUGGUGUAGCGGUGAAAUGCGUAGAUAUCAGGAGGAAUACCUGUGGUGUAGACGGCUCUCUGGACCGCAACUGACGCUGAGACACGAAAGCGUGGGUAGCAAACA